ACGGGAGGCAGCAGUGGGGAAUAUUGCACAAUGGGCGAAAGCCUGAUGCAGCAACGCCGCGUGAGGGAAGACGGUUUUCGGAUUGUAAACCUUUGUCCUUGGUGAAGAUAAUGACGGUAGCCGAGGAGGAAGCCACGGCUAACUACGUGCCAGCAGCCGCGGUAAUACGUAGGUGGCAAGCGUUAUCCGGAUUUACUGGGUGUAAAGGGCGCGUAGGCGGGGAUGCAAGUCAGAUGUGAAAUCUAUGGGCUUAACUCAUAAACUGCAUUUGAAACUGUAUCUCUUGAGUGCUGGAGAGGUAGAUGGAAUUCCUAGUGUAGCGGUGAAAUGCGUAGAUAUUAGGAAGAACACCAGUGGCGAAGGCGAUCUACUGGACAGUAACUGACGCUGAGGCGCGAAAGCGUGGGGAGCAAACAGGAUUAGAUACCCUGGUA
RNAcentral lists this ribosomal RNA (434 nucleotides) under uncultured Oscillospiraceae bacterium. RNAcentral's name for it is "bacterial SSU rRNA". It matches the Rfam family "Bacterial small subunit ribosomal RNA", at positions 341 to 792 of the family's 1533-position model. Lineage: Bacteria; Bacillati; Bacillota; Clostridia; Eubacteriales; Oscillospiraceae. The record is from RNAcentral.